Molecule: long non-coding RNA, 301 nt
Organism: Agrilus planipennis (emerald ash borer)
Lineage: Eukaryota; Metazoa; Arthropoda; Insecta; Coleoptera; Buprestidae
Exons: 2
Source: RefSeq, a predicted model, not a curated record
CACUUCUGUGUCUGCAAAUACACACCUACUACUACUGGCAAUUAUUAAACCUACAAGUGAAACUGUAGACAAUAGUCAACCUCUCACCAGAGCAACACCUUUCGCUGCAGGUAUCGAUUUGAGAAGUGCCUAUAGUUACAAAGUUCCUGCUCGUGGUCAAACUCUCGUUGAUACUGGAAUUAAAGUUCAACUACCGAUUGGUCAUUACGGUCGUAUUGCUCCACGAUCUGGACUAGCAGUCAAUCAUUCUAUAGACGUAGGAGCAGGUGUUAUUGACGAAGACUACAGAGGUGUAAUUAAG